UUAUUACGAUAAUGAGUCUUGGUUUAUUAAAAAGCCAGAAAAGUAUGUAUGCAUGUAGUUAGUAGCAAUCUGUGAACCUCCAGAAAUGCCAACUACUUCCGUCCACACUUCGUCACCAGCAGUCAAGUGUAUAAUUAUAGCCUCUCUGUUCUUCAGCCAUUGCGCUUGCAGUAAAUCAAAAAAGAUAUAGCCGACUUCUGUUCCGUUUUUUUUAAUCUUAAUUUUCAUGGUUUUGCUGGUUGCUUCUGAAACUGUUGCUGCUACAUUUAUGUAAUAAAUUCCAUUGACUGGAGCAAUAAAGUGCCAUGAAACUUGUGGUAGCCAUUUCCAGUGUUAAGAUGAACGUUGCUAUAAAUAAGGUGUUGGCCGACAGUAGUGGUAAAAUAAGAACCACCAAGUUCAGCUAGGAAUGCAACAACAAGA
RNAcentral lists this long non-coding RNA (423 nucleotides) under Mytilus galloprovincialis (Mediterranean mussel). The record is from RNAcentral. Lineage: Eukaryota; Metazoa; Mollusca; Bivalvia; Mytilida; Mytilidae.